This 303-nucleotide long non-coding RNA is filed under the name Lepisosteus oculatus (spotted gar). Its description in RNAcentral is "lncRNA (ENSLOCG00000022667.1)". Lineage: Eukaryota; Metazoa; Chordata; Actinopteri; Semionotiformes; Lepisosteidae. The record is from RNAcentral.
AGUGCACGUAUAUGACUGUGUUGUGGGGUGUCUUGACGGCUGUGCUUUGGGGUACAGAGCAAGUCGGUGUCAUCAACGGACAGCCAGCAUGGUGAGGAGCGGGGGGGUCCCUCAGGAGAGUACGGACCUGCAGGCGGAGGUGAGACCAAGAGGAGGCGCUGUGACGACAAAGACUCCCUCCAGCACUAUGACAGUGACGGAGAUAAGAGCGAGGACAAUCUGGUGGUGGACGUGUCCAAUGAGGUAGGCAGCAGGGCGGCGCUGGGGUGGGCGGGGCGCCCCGAUAUCGCUGCCGUGAUGUUU